CAGUGGGGAAUAUUGGACAAUGGGCGCAAGCCUGAUCCAGCAAUACCGCGUGUGUGAAGAAGGCCUUAGGGUUGUAAAGCACUUUCAAUUGGGAGGAAAACCUGUCGGUCAAUACCCGGCAGCUUGACAUACCUUUAGAAGAAGCACCGGCUAACUCCGUGCCAGCAGCCGCGGUAAUACGGAGGGUGCAAGCGUUAAUCGGAAUUACUGGGCGUAAAGCGUGCGUAGGCGGUUCGUUAAGUCAGAUGUGAAAGCCCCGGGGCUUAACCUGGGAACUGCAUUUGAAACUGGCGGACUUGAGUUGAGUAGAGGGGGAGUGGAAUUUCAGGUGUAGCGGUGAAAUGCGUAGAUAUCUGAAGGAACACCAGUGGCGAAGGCGACUCCCUGGACUCAAACUGACGCUGAGGUACGAAAGCGUGGGUAGCAAACAGGAUUAGAUACCCUGGUAGUCCACGCUGUAAACGAUGUCAACUAGCCGUUGGUCCUAUUUACAGGAUUAGUGGCGCAGCUAACGCAUUAAGUUGACCGCCUGGG
Molecule: ribosomal RNA, 534 nt
Filed under: uncultured bacterium
Lineage: Bacteria
Description: bacterial SSU rRNA
Rfam family: Bacterial small subunit ribosomal RNA
Source: RNAcentral